This is an RNA transcript of Hylaeus volcanicus, 5534 nucleotides long. It is a transcript of the gene named DDB1- and CUL4-associated factor 6-like, with no coding region annotated. The record is from RefSeq and is a predicted model, not a curated record. The transcript is spliced from 15 exons. Lineage: Eukaryota; Metazoa; Arthropoda; Insecta; Hymenoptera; Colletidae.
CCUACGGAAUGACCAAGCUCUCGCGCACUUUCUUUUCAGCGCAGUGUGUGUAUACAUUCGCUCAGCUGUUCUGGUCAGAAGUGAUCGCGGCUCAUCUGAUUGCACAAAUUUUCGAAGCUCCGGGGUUUAUUUUUAGUACGAGUGCCAUGUCGUUUUUGUACAAUCCUCGUGAAUUUUUGCUGCGUAAGAGCAUGUUACACGGUUUCUAAUUCGAUCGAUACAUCAAAGUUCCUUGCUGAUUGACAGACUCGCUCCACUCGUCACUCACCUCGGUUAUAUUUGGGAAUUUGACAUUAAUCCGUGAUCGAUGCGUCCCGCAAAUUGAUAUUAAAUUACGACUGUAACAAUCAAGGCUGAACCAUGAAGAAGACACGCUCGAAUCUGUUCCGUGACAUUUAUUAUCUGCCGUACAAUGAGUGCUCCAAGAUGAAGCUUUAUUCCAGCAGUAAAGCGAGUCUUCAGAUGAUACAGCGUAUGGCUUUAUUGAAGAAAUUGAAAGUGCAUAACGGUUGUGUAAACUCUCUCUCUUGGAAUAAUACUGGUGAAUUGAUACUGUCUGGUAGCGAUGAUCUACACCUUGUACUUACCAAUGCUUAUGAUUACAAGGUGAUGACAGAUUAUAAAACCAGUCACAAAUCAAAUAUAUUUAGCGCAAAGUUUCUGCCUAACAGUGGAGAUCAUCGGAUAGUUUCGUGUAGCGGCGACGGCACUAUUUUGUAUACAGAUUUAAUGAGGAAAACAGAAACGUUUCAUAAUCAAUUCAAUUGUCAUAGUGGCACUACUUAUGAGGUAGCAACACUUCCUGGUGAAUCACACACCUUUCUAAGCUGUGGGGAGGAUGCAACUGUAAGAUUAUUUGAUCUUAGAAUAAAGGAGAAAUGCAAUGCCUUGAACUGUAGGAAGGAUGUACUAAUUUCUUGUAAAAGAGCUAUAACUGCCUUGUCGGUAAAUCUCGCUUCGCCCUACCAACUAGCGAUUGGCUGUUCCGAUAGUACAGUAAGAAUAUUUGACCGAAGAAUGCUCGGAACUCCAGCUGAUGGGUGGCCAGAUAGGAGUAGAGAGUACCUUGCCUUAUGCAGAUUCACAGUUCCCGAAUUUGAAGGGAACUCUCAUAGAAUGACAUCGUUAAACUACAGUCCCGAUGGGCAAGACGUUCUUGUUAGUUACAGCAGCGAUCAUCUUUAUCUGUUCAACGUAAAGGACCAGGGUACCGUGCAAUUGAAGAAAGACGUCGCGGCAGGAAAAGGUGAAGGAAGGAAACUGAGGUUACGAUCGCCUCUACCUGUACGUAGAUUGAGACUUAGGGGCGAUUGGUCCGAUACUGGUCCAGACGCUCGACCUGAACGCGAAGGUGGUCGACGUAACGGUAUAGAAAUUGCACAAGCUAGACCAGUGCUUCACACUUCGUUAAUGCAGAGAAUGACGGACGUUCUUAGUAGAAUGUUAAACGAUCCUGCCACCAGAGCUGCGUUGUGUGGUGGCGGCGAAGAUAGUUUAGAAGGCGUGAUCGAUCACCAAGAUAAUACUCAAAAUAGCAAUGAAAACACUGCGGAAGCUAGCGAGGAAAGACGUAGCGAAUCUGAAGGAGCAGAGAGAGUUCCAACCCAAAGCAACCAAGAAACAGUUGUUGCAGAACGACAAGCAGAGGGAUUCGAAGGUGCAUGUUCGAGCGGUACGCAAAGCGAACCCGAAGCAACUCGUUCCGCGAUAGCGAAGAACCAGUUACCAUCAGAGCAAACGACUGACGAAAACCCGGUUGACCCCAAAUUGAAUGUUCCUAUGAAAACUGAAUCUAGUCAAACAAAAAUACAAAAGUGUUCCGUGCAACCUUGUUCUUCGCGUACUCCGGAUAGGUGCAACGAUAAUCUAGAAGAAGAGCAAAGCAGUAGCGUAGACUCCCCGUGCGCGAGUGUGGAGAAUAAACAGAAAGGACACAUGAUGGAGAACUUAAAAGAUAGACUGGCAAAGAUGAAGGAAGGCGUCAUCAUGAGAAACGGCAGCGAACCGGGCGUGAGCUUCAUUUACACGGAUAAAAGUUCGACCAGCGCAACUAUAUGCUGUCCUACAGGUUCAUCCGAUAGUCGCAGUAACGCAACGUUCUCGGGCAAAAGUCAUGACAAACACUUACGAUAUAGUGAUACACAAGAAAAGACUGAUGAAAGCGCUUUUACCGAUAGUGACGACGACGAUAUAGACCUUAGAGAAAGGUAUUCUAGAUUCAGAAGUCGAGUUGUAGAAAAACUGGACGAAGCUAUCGAUCAUGACGAAUCGUCUCAAGGGUCCACAAGCUCCGAUAAGGCAUACGUAACGAAACUUCGCGUGAAGCAAAAGUACAUGGGACAUCGCAACGCUAGUUUCUUUAGGACCAUGAUCAAAGAAGCGAACUUCUGGGGCAACGAUUUCGUCAUGUCGGGUAGCGACUGCGGCCACGUGUUCAUCUGGGAUAAAGACACGGCAAAACUGUGCAUGUUACUCGAGGCUGAUCAACACGUGGUCAACUGUCUACAACCCCAUCCGUAUUUGCCUUUGCUGGCUACCGCAGGCAUCGAUUACGAUGUCAAGCUCUGGGCACCCAUAAACGACGAGUCCACCUUUGACGAGAACUUUGCCGAAGAUUUGAAAAAGAGGAACGCGAUCAUGUUGGAAGAGACCAGAGACACAAUGACCGUACCUGCUACUUUUAUGAUCAGAAUGCUGGCAUGUCUCAAUCAGAUACGCAGAGGUAGUGAAAAUUUAUAAUAAUACUCCCCAAGACUUCCUGGUAGUUCACUACACUAGUAUGACCGAAGAUACGUAGUUAAGAAAAUAAUAUACAGGAGAGUUUGGCAGCUUUUCCUGUUACGUGCAGGUCGCGGUCGGAACAGGGGGAGAAGCGGACACGAGCCCACCGAAUUACGAGGUUGCUAAGCGAUUUUCGACGAAAUUUUUGGGAGGUCGGUCCCGACGACACAGCAUAUCACAAUGUCGACAGUCCCAACCGACUAAUCAGGUUGAAAAAAAGAAAAAAAAGAAACACCACGUAUUAUUUGAUUUAUCGUUGCAAGCGUAAUUUUCAAUUAAUUGUAAGAAUAUUCAAUCAUGAUAAGCUUCCGUAUCUCCAGUUAUAUCGCUCUCGGAGAGAGAUAAGUCGUUUCUUUAUUAUAUUUUUCUUCGCAAAUUCUAUUCAAGGCCCGAUCUUCUCGAUAUGUACACGAAACUCCGUUACCACCAACGAAUGUUUAUCGCGAUACAAACACUAUCUUGCCUUACGGAGCUGAUCGAAUUACCUGUCGUGUUUGUGUACGCCAAUAUUUUUCUUAUUCUCUUUUAUUUUGUGUGUGUACGCGUGUGCGUGUGACUCGAGCGAGAUACUCAAUGCGUCGCUCUAACUUUUAUUUUCUUCUUUGAAAUAGAUCACCUGGCUGAUUCGAAACAUAUAGCGAUUACGUGGCGAAUUUCACACGAAAUAAUGUUAUUGUAACGAUAGACACAAGUAAUGGAGUAGAUAACAGAUAAGAGUGGGUUUAACGACCGACGCAUUGUUCCGGGAGGCGAGGUGUACAGGUGUUCCGAGGCUGUACUUUAAAAAAGAAAAGAAAAGAAAAAAAAACACGAAGUCGCUAGUGCAUUAUACUUGUAAUUUUCUACGUUCUCUUAAUUCGCGAGCAGUAGAACGAGGAACGGUAACGAGCGACUCGUCGUGACCCGAAUGUAAACGUUUCUAUUGUUUCGGUUGGUUCCGCUUUGUUAAUGUUAGCGCGUGUGACGUUGCACGGCUAGAUAAGCGAAUGGCGGCGUGCCACUCGAAAGGCUUUAACUAUUUUAACUCUUUGCGCUCGGAUUACGCGUCGGGGCCGAUAUGGAUUUGGGAGAGGAAUUCUUGACACUUACAACUUGUAAGUACAGGGCGGUUGGAGAGUAAUUGAACAUUUUUAAAAAUGUAUUUUAGUGGCUAAGAAUAUUUUUGAACGUAGUAGACUAAUCAAAUCUCCGUUACCAAUCGGAUUAGAGUACGUUUUUAUACGAAAUAAUCGAAUUAAUUGCGCAUUUUAAACACAAUAUACAACCUUAGGGAGACAUCUAUUUUUUUUUUUUUAUUGAUCUCGUGCAAAAAUAAAUUUCUCUUCGGGUAUAUGUAUUGGAAAUAGUUAUAAAUAUCGUGUAAUGAUCGAGACUCGUUGGGUAUUGGUAGCACAAGUAUCGUAAGUAUGUAAAUAAUGUACAAAUUGAUGAUGGUUGUUAAUUUGUCGGGAUGUGGAUACAAGAAGCAAUCUUGUUAAAUAGAAGGAAUGUAAUUCCAAAUAAAUUUGAAAAAUAUAAAUGUAAGAUAUAGAAAUGAAAAAGAUAUGGCUCCGCGUGGAGCAACGCACACAUGCCUGAAUCUCGUGUGAAUUUGUUUUUAUUUAAAAAGGUCAAUAAGUAAUGGCUACCAUCCCUUAGGGUUGGAUAUUUUGCUAUAAAACUCAAUUGUUGAAUAAAAUAUACUUUUCGAAAUAUUUAAUUAUUUUCUCGAUCGCUCUGUGAUAAGUGUGCUGUGCCUUAGAUUGCUACUCACUAACAUUCGUACAUAAAACAGCGCUCCUGCAUCCGUUACUUUAAGUUCUUCAUUGUAUUUAUAAAACUAUAUGCAACCUAACUACAAAAUGUUAUUAGCAUUGAAUGAAAAGUACCACCUCGACUUCAAGACAUCUUCAUAGAGGAUAUUCCUCUCUACAUGUAGAAAGAGUAAAUAUACAAUUUACGUCCCUAUUACGUGAACGUGUUAAAGAAGUACAUAUAUUUUUUAUAUGUAGGAAGGGUAAUUAGGAACAUAACGUAACGUGAAAAAUUAAUCUACUACUUCGAUAAUUUAUCAACAUGUAAAGCAACUGUGUAGAGCAUCUGUAAUGUUUGAAUAUUAAGUGGGGUUAGUGUAUAUGAUUUUAUAUGAUGUAUAAUAUAUACAUAUGUUCCACAGAGGCUACAAGUUCGCAGGUGACAAUCCUUUAACGCACUCGAGACUGCUACAUUAUUACGAAACUAUUUUCAGUAGUCAUCAAUAAUUUUUAGUUGCUGCCUCAUCCUUUAAACAUGCGAUGUGCUACACGAUUCGUCAGUCUCGAAUGUGUUAAAAGUUCCGAACGCAAAGGGUCGAAUUAACAUUUAUUAACAAUAGACUUAGGAUUUCGUUUGGUCGCAAUGUAGACACGCUUGCAAGAAACGACAAUGUUAAAUUAACAAACGAAAAGGAAGUUGCAGUUUAAAAGGGAAUUAAGAGAUAAUGAUCAUACUGUCUGUCAGUCGUUUCGAAACUAGAAUACAAUUUGGAGAGAUUUAAUUAUACCCUCUCGAGGGUUCUAGUAAUUUCAGAUAAAAAAAACUGGGAUCGAGGGUGAUGAUCGCCGGAAUUGCAUAACGGAGACGUGUGUAUUUCCUUGUUUUAUUUCUCUGAACAUUAGGACAAAAUUGUAAUCAAUCGCUUAUCCGUUUACCGUAAAUCCAAUAAUGUCUGUAAUAAUGAAUUAGCGUUAUAUUAAAUGUACCGAUGAGAGAUUUAAUAAUCACACUUUCCUCCU